This 468-nucleotide ribosomal RNA is filed under the name uncultured bacterium. Its description in RNAcentral is "partial 16S ribosomal RNA". It matches the Rfam family "Bacterial small subunit ribosomal RNA", at positions 28 to 507 of the family's 1533-position model. The record is from RNAcentral.
GACGAACGCUGGCGGCGUGCUUAACACAUGCAAGUCGAACGGAAAGGCCCUGGUUUUGUGGGGUGCUCGAGUGGCGAACGGGUGAGUAACACGGGAGUAACCUGCCCUUGACUUUGGGAUAACUUCAGGAAACUGGGGCUAAUACCGGAUAGGAGCUCCUGCUGCAUGGUGGGGGUUGGAAAGUUUCGGCGGGUGGGGAUGGACUCGCGGCUUAUCAGCUUGUUGGUGGGGUAGUGGCUUACCAAGGCUUUGACGGGUAGCCGGCCUGAGAGGGUGACCGGCCACAUUGGGACUGAGAUACGGCCCAGACUCCUACGGGAGGCAGCAGUGGGGAAUAUUGCACAAUGGGCGGAAGCCUGAUGCAGCAACGCCGCGUGCGGGAUGACGGCCUUCGGGUUGUAAACCGCUUUCGCCUGUGACGAAGCGUGAGUGACGGUAAUGGGUAAAGAAGCACCGGCUAACUACGUG